AGUCGGCUUUGCCCACCACACAGGGUGCCUCUGACAUCUGCACAGCGCACACAACCAAGUUUACGAGCCCACUGUUAAGAAGCCCAAGUGACGUUGACAAGUUUCUCUGUGAGCCAUUGAGAUCUGCUGAUCGCGAAGGCAUCGCGGGACUGCCGAAGGAUUCUGGAAAAUGUGGUACCGGCGCUCUGCGGGUGGCCAAUGUGCGCUGAGCUUCACGGUGCAGUCCCCAGCAUUUACAGAAGUGAGGGCCUCGCUUCUGGGCAUCAAGCAGCCAGAAAGUCCCUUAGGAGCUUUCUCUGAAUUGUUGAAUUGCUGUAGGGAAGUCAAGGCCAUAUGGAAACACUACAUUUAGGGACUCAGUCCCAGCUGAGCCCCCUCUUCCAACAUCCCAAGCCAGGUAUCAGAUGUGAAGGAACAAGCCUCCAAAUGGUUCCAGACCCCAGCUGUUGAGUCUCCUGUGCUGAGGCCAGACAUCAUGGAACAGAGACAAGUGGGCUACCCUUGUGCCACAUCUGAAAUCCUGACUAUAAGCAUGAGUAUCCACAAACAUAAUAAAAUGAUUGUUUGAGCCACUAAA
This is a long non-coding RNA of Nomascus leucogenys (northern white-cheeked gibbon), 577 nucleotides long. RefSeq lists it as uncharacterized. NCBI's taxonomy places the organism in Eukaryota, Metazoa, Chordata, Mammalia, Primates, Hylobatidae. The record is from RefSeq and is a predicted model, not a curated record. The transcript has 3 exons.